GGAGUAAUUAUUAUUAUUGUUACGCUGUCCACUUUAAAAGCGGAUUAUCAUGGGUUCGAUUCCCAUCUGCUCCA
Non-coding RNA from Culex pipiens (northern house mosquito), 74 nucleotides. The record is from Rfam. Lineage: Eukaryota; Metazoa; Arthropoda; Insecta; Diptera; Culicidae.